AUGCUCCACUUGCGGCGGAUUCUGUACCUUAGCUCCCUAUCUGCUUAUGAAUCCUUCUUGAUGGCAAGGAGUAUUGCACUACAUGGCCAAAUGAAUCGGCCCAGCCACCUCGGCAAUGCCUUUUUCUGCACCUUCAGUAAUCCUCUGGGGGAACAAGUUGGCAUCACUAAAGGGAAGGAUAGAGCAGAAAUGAGGAAGGAAACCAAGAAGGUCAAUGUAACAUCGGCCACCAUCAUUACAAAUAGUAGCCAUCGCGAUGGGUCUAUAUACAAAAACUCGUUUCUCGACGUAUGUCAUGUCAAAAACCGUGCUGAGACACAAUUGGAGCCAAUGAGGUUAUCGGACCCUGCUAAUUGCUAUCCUGACCAGAAAAGGUGUCGUGUGCAUUUUGAAUGUGACAUGAUGCAAAUUUUCUUACUAAAAUUGGCUAUAGUUCCUAUGAGCACAAGCUCAGUGCAAUUAUAUGGAUAUAUAGCAGCACGUGAUUAUCUGGAUUUAUCGCUUAAUUAUAUUGUCAAUCGUAGCAGGGACAACCCCCUUACGGUGCGACAGGGUUCCCUCAUUGAGAUGACUGGCCCUAAGAGGGGCAUCACAAUGACCAGCGCUGUUCUAGUUGAGUAUGACAUGAGGAUCAUGAAAGGAGAGCAAGAAGAAGAUGAUCUACAACUAAUUGACGGUGCAACAGACUUCUGCGAAGUAACCACACCUUCUUGUCCAUCCACGUAUCGUAUUAAUGGCGAUUGUGGUGCGGUUGACAUCACAUUAGCAUGCGUUGUCAAUGCAGUGGAGGCCACAAUAGAUGUUAUUGUAUCAGAAGUGCAGGGUGGAUUCAGUUUAUCUCUCAGUUCAUUUGUGUUUGUCGGUGGGUCACGUCAUGGAAUUGAGCUUUUUUGUGAUGAUGUUGGCGAGUCAUGUGUCUUAACAAGAAGAUAUGUGAUGGCCGUAGAGAUGGAUAGUUGGAUGCAGUUGAAACUCAAGGUAGGUCAGAAAGGUUCUAAAUAUGAUGACCUGGAACGUUAUUGUCGCUUCAAAGCACACAUCCAUGGAUACGCACGUCGACAAAUACAGCUUGAGCAUGCCUCUAUCUGGCUGAAGGUGACUUGGUCGGCUAUGCCAUAA
This 1119-nucleotide ribosomal RNA is filed under the name Triticum aestivum (bread wheat). RNAcentral describes it as "partial small subunit ribosomal RNA". The record is from RNAcentral. Lineage: Eukaryota; Viridiplantae; Streptophyta; Magnoliopsida; Poales; Poaceae.